CUUACAUUAGGUCAUCUAAGACUCAGGUUUGACUGAAUUUGGACAAUGUUAACUCAUUUGACUUGUGUUGAACUUCUUCUAGAAGAAAAAAGUCAAGGAAUACUUUUUCUCAGCCUUCUGAUCUGGCUUCUGAGACCACUUCUCUCUGACUGGUGAGACUAUACUGGAAGCCUCUUCCCUCUGUGCUGGAAGGCAGCUGCUCUCAGCUUGGUGUUAUGUCUACCUCAACAGCGAGAAAGAAAAGCUCAGUUCCUAGUUUCUCAUAACUUGCAUGCAGUAAACCAAGAAGCUAAGGACAUUCCAGCAACAUAUCCCAGUGGCAACGCUCUAUCUUCAUUCACAUGUCUUAGUAGCCCAGCCCUUAAAUGGGUCACCGGAGCAUCUCUCUCAGGUAUUUACUGUAAAGAAGAAAACCUCCACUGCCCAUAUCCAAACUUCAGAGGAGCAUUUAAAGCAGA
This 458-nucleotide long non-coding RNA is filed under the name Calidris pugnax (ruff). RNAcentral's name for it is "lncRNA (ENSCPUG00000018763.1)". Lineage: Eukaryota; Metazoa; Chordata; Aves; Charadriiformes; Scolopacidae. The record is from RNAcentral.